Molecule: ribosomal RNA, 465 nt
Filed under: Vreelandella stevensii
Lineage: Bacteria; Pseudomonadati; Pseudomonadota; Gammaproteobacteria; Oceanospirillales; Halomonadaceae
Description: partial 16S ribosomal RNA
Rfam family: Bacterial small subunit ribosomal RNA
Source: RNAcentral
CCUACGGGAGGCUGCAGUGGGGAAUAUUGGACAAUGGGGGCAACCCUGAUCCAGCCAUGCCGCGUGUGUGAAGAAGGCCCUCGGGUUGUAAAGCACUUUCAGUGAGGAAGAACGCCUGGUGGUUAAUACCCAUCAGGAAAGACAUCACUCACAGAAGAAGCACCGGCUAACUCCGUGCCAGCAGCCGCGGUAAUACGGAGGGUGCGGGCGUUAAUCGGAAUUACUGGGCGUAAAGCGCGCGUAGGUGGCUUGAUAAGCCGGUUGUGAAAGCCCCGGGCUCAACCUGGGAACGGCAUCCGGAACUGUCAAGCUAGAGUGCAGGAGAGGAAGGUAGAAUUCCCGGUGUAGCGGUGAAAUGCGUAGAGAUCGGGAGGAAUACCAGUGGCGAAGGCGGCCUUCUGGACUGACACUGACACUGAGGUGCGAAAGCGUGGGUAGCAAACAGGAUUAGAUACCCGAGUAGUC